RNAcentral lists this ribosomal RNA (112 nucleotides) under Enterococcus faecium. RNAcentral's name for it is "partial 16S ribosomal RNA". It matches the Rfam family "Bacterial small subunit ribosomal RNA", at positions 1 to 119 of the family's 1533-position model. The record is from RNAcentral. RNAcentral also lists the same sequence under 1 other name. Lineage: Bacteria; Bacillati; Bacillota; Bacilli; Lactobacillales; Enterococcaceae.
UUUUAUGAGAGUUUGAUCCUGGCUCAGGACGAACGCUGGCGGCGUGCCUAAUACAUGCAAGUCGAACGCUUCUUUUUCCACCGGAGCUUGCUCCACCGGAAAAAGAAGAGUG